RNAcentral lists this ribosomal RNA (442 nucleotides) under uncultured bacterium. Its description in RNAcentral is "partial 16S ribosomal RNA". It matches the Rfam family "Bacterial small subunit ribosomal RNA", at positions 338 to 795 of the family's 1533-position model. The record is from RNAcentral.
CCUACGGGUGGCAGCAGUGGGGGAUAUUGCACAAUGGGGGAAACCCUGAUGCAGCGACGCCGCGUGGGCGCAGAAGUAUUUCGGUAUGUAAAGCCCUAUCAGCAGGGAAGAAGAAAUGACGGUACCUGAGUAAGAAGCACCGGCUAAAUACGUGCCAGCAGCCGCGGUAAUACGUAUGGUGCAAGCGUUAUCCGGAUUUACUGGGUGUAAAGGGAGCGCAGGCGGCACGGCAAGCCUGAUGUGAAAGCCCGCGGCCCAACCGCGGAACUGCUUUGGAAACUGUAUAGCUUGAGUACUGGAGAGGCAGGCGGAAUUCCUAGUGUAGCGGUGAAAUGCGUAGAUAUUAGGAGGAACACCAGUGGCGAAGGCGGCCUGCUGGACAGAAACUGACGUUGAGGCUCGAAAGCGUGGGGAGCAAACAGGAUUAGAUACCCGUGUAGUC